Molecule: ribosomal RNA, 393 nt
Filed under: uncultured bacterium
Lineage: Bacteria
Description: bacterial SSU rRNA
Rfam family: Bacterial small subunit ribosomal RNA
Source: RNAcentral
ACUCCUACGGGAGGCAGCAGUGGGGAAUAUUGCGCAAUGGACGAAAGUCUGACGCAGCGACGCCGCGUGUGGGAGGAAGCCUUUCGGGUGUAAAACCACUGUCAGAGGGGAAGAACAGCGUCUUUUCGAACAGGACUGGCGUUUGACGGUACCCUCAGAGGAAGACGCCGGCUAACUCCGUGCCAGCAGCCGCGGUAAGACGGAGGGCGCAAGCGUUGUUCGGAAUUACUGGGCGUAAAGCGCGGGCAGGUGGUCCGUUAAGUCGUCUGUGAAAAUCCGGGGCUCAACCCGCGAAGUAGCAGGCGAUACUGGCGGGCUGGAGAUCGGUAGAGGCUAGCGGAAUUCCUGGUGUAGCGGUGGAAUGCGUAGAUAUCAGGAAGAACACCCGUGGCG